Molecule: ribosomal RNA, 292 nt
Filed under: uncultured bacterium
Lineage: Bacteria
Description: partial 16S ribosomal RNA
Source: RNAcentral
GGACUACAGGGGUAUCUAAUCCUGUUUGCUCCCCACGCUCUCGCGCCUCAGUGUCAGUAUCAGUCCAGGCGGCCGCCUUCGCCACCGGUGUUCCUUCCGAUCUCUACGCAUUUCACCGCUACACCGGAAAUUCUGCCGCCCUCUACUGUACUCCAGCGGCCCAGUCUUAAGCGCCAUUCCUAGGUUGAGCCCAGGGAUUUCACGCCUAUCUUAAACCGCAACCUACGCGCCCUUUACGCCCAGUCACUCCGAUUAACGCUCGCACCCUCUGUAUUACCGCGGCUGCUGGCAC